GGGUUGUUAGCUCAGUUGGUAGAGCAGCUGACUCUUAAUCAGCGGGUCGAGGGUUCAAGCCCCCCCACAGCCCA
This 74-nucleotide transfer RNA is filed under the name Brochothrix thermosphacta. RNAcentral describes it as "tRNA-Lys". It matches the Rfam family "tRNA". Rfam says of the family: Transfer RNA (tRNA) molecules are approximately 80 nucleotides in length. Their secondary structure includes four short double-helical elements and three loops (D, anti-codon, and T loops). Lineage: Bacteria; Bacillati; Bacillota; Bacilli; Caryophanales; Listeriaceae. RNAcentral also lists the same sequence under 1 other name. The record is from RNAcentral.